This 686-nucleotide ribosomal RNA is filed under the name Sordariomycetes sp. genotype 245. Its description in RNAcentral is "eukaryotic LSU rRNA". The stretch from base 108 to 686 matches the Rfam family "Eukaryotic large subunit ribosomal RNA", at positions 1 to 592 of the family's 3401-position model. Lineage: Eukaryota; Fungi; Ascomycota; Sordariomycetes. The record is from RNAcentral.
UGAAAGGAAGUGGCGGGCUCGCUGCAACUCCGAGCGUAGUAAUUCAUUAUCUCGCUAGGGAAGUGCGGCGUGCUCCUGCCGUUAAAGACACCAUCUUUAACCAAGGUUGACCUCGGAUCAGGUAGGAAUACCCGCUGAACUUAAGCAUAUCAAUAAGCGGAGGAAAAGAAACCAACAGGGAUUGCCCUAGUAACGGCGAGUGAAGCGGCAACAGCUCAAAUUUGAAAUCUGGCUUCGGCCCGAGUUGUAAUUUGUAGAGGAUGCUUUUGGUGAGGUGCCUUCUGAGUUCCCUGGAACGGGACGCCAGAGAGGGUGAGAGCCCCGUAUAGUCGGCCACCGAUCCUCUGUAAAGCUCCUUCGACGAGUCGAGUAGUUUGGGAAUGCUGCUCAAAAUGGGAGGUAUAUCUCUUCUAAAGCUAAAUACUGGCCAGAGACCGAUAGCGCACAAGUAGAGUGAUCGAAAGAUGAAAAGCACUUUGAAAAGAGGGUUAAAUAGCACGUGAAAUUGUUGAAAGGGAAGCGCUUGUGACCAGACUUGCGCCGGGCUGAUCAUCCAGUGUUCUCACUGGUGCACUCGACCCGGCUCAGGCCAGCGUCGGUUCUCGCAGGGGGAUAAAAGCUUCGGGAACGUGGCACCUUCGGGUGUGUUAUAGCCCGUUGCUUAAUACCCCUGCGGGGACCGAGGU